This 251-nucleotide unclassified non-coding RNA is filed under the name plant metagenome. RNAcentral describes it as "partial contains small subunit ribosomal RNA and internal transcribed spacer 1". The stretch from base 1 to 46 matches the Rfam family "Eukaryotic small subunit ribosomal RNA", at positions 1786 to 1831 of the family's 1831-position model. The record is from RNAcentral.
AAGUCGUAACAAGGUUUCCGUAGGUGAACCUGCGGAAGGAUCAUUCAAAUAAAGGGUAGGAAGUGGGGUCUUGAUCUGUAAGUGGAGAGCGUACAGUCCGGCUGCCUCCCCGAAAUGUCUUACAUGUCCCCCACAGCCUGAAGGCCGAUUACAACCCUGAUUAUCUACACUUGUUGCUUUGGGGUGCUCAGGCCCCAGAGGACCCAACUCUCUUGCAUUUAGUGCGUCUGAGUACUAUAUAAUAUUUAAAA